GGUCAUGAGUGCCAGUGACGAGCCCCGGCUAGCUGGCCGGCAACCCUCCAACCGCGGUGGGGUGCCCCGGGUGAAGACCAGGCUUCCGCCAAAAGGCGCGAAGCAAGCGCGGGUC
Molecule: non-coding RNA, 115 nt
Filed under: Crystallibacter crystallopoietes
Lineage: Bacteria; Bacillati; Actinomycetota; Actinomycetes; Micrococcales; Micrococcaceae
Also listed under: 1 other name
Description: Arthrobacter crystallopoietes SAM-IV sequence
Rfam family: SAM (S-adenosyl methionine) riboswitch aptamer
About the family: SAM-IV is a mRNA element that regulates gene expression via direct sensing of S-adenosylmethionine (SAM or AdoMet). SAM-IV riboswitches share conserved nucleotide positions with the previously described SAM-I riboswitches sequence analysis and molecular recognition experiments suggest that SAM-I and SAM-IV riboswitches share similar ligand binding sites, but have different scaffolds.
Source: RNAcentral